UUUCUCUACUCUUGUGUAGAUGGCCUAUUUGACUCCUCUUUCAAACCAUCUCUCCUCCCUGUCCAAAAUAUGUACAUUGUUGUCACAGAGAGAGAGCCCCUGGUCCUUCAAGUUUUACAGGUCUUUGCAUUCAUCACUGCAUUGGACAGCAUGUGGACUAGAUGUGUCUGGUGUUGGUGUUCUUCCUGGAUCGUGUGGCUGUUUUCACAAAGGUCCAGUUUGGAAGGUCCAUCAACUUGGUUACCUACACUGCCAAACAUACGGUAUAUUUUCUGUCCAAACCCCCUUGGUAGGCAACACGCCUCACCAAAUCCCAAACUCCAUAGACUUUGUGAACGAAGACCCACAUGAAACCAUGGUAUCCAAUAAUGUCAACUUCUUGUUCACAUGUAUCCCCACCAUGGAGGAUACAUGACUGCUACAAGACAACACCAUGAACAACAUCCAAUAAUAUUAAUGUCUUACUUUAUUGUCACAUACACAUACAUGUUGCGAAAUUCAUCCUCUGCAUUUAACCCAUCCCUCAAGGGAGCCGCAGUGCCCGGGGACCAACUCCAGAACUGGUCAAUAACACUGAC
Long non-coding RNA from Micropterus dolomieu (smallmouth bass), 578 nucleotides. RefSeq lists it as uncharacterized. The transcript has 3 exons. The record is from RefSeq and is a predicted model, not a curated record. Lineage: Eukaryota; Metazoa; Chordata; Actinopteri; Centrarchiformes; Centrarchidae.